GGGUAGGUUAUUUCCAGGGUUUUUAUUUUUAUACUUUAAACUUUGAUUUUUUUUUAUGUUUUUWAAWURUUGKUGUUUUUGAAKGUGUUGUUUAAAUAACAUAAAAAAUAAAAUAUAUAUAUUGACAUGCAUUAAACAAAGAUAUAUAUUAUUUUAUGUUGUAUAAAUAAAUUGGCAAAAUAGAGAUGGAAGAUAAAAAUAUGGUCAAAGUAAUAAGAGUUUAUGGUGAAUGCCUAGGAGCUUUAAGGCGAAGAAGGUCGUGGUAAGCUGCGAAAAGCUUGGGGGAGAAGCAAACCUUUAUUGAUCCCAAGAUUACCGAAUGGAGUAAUCC
This 331-nucleotide unclassified non-coding RNA is filed under the name Borreliella burgdorferi (Lyme disease spirochete). Its description in RNAcentral is "partial contains 5S-23S ribosomal RNA intergenic spacer and 23S ribosomal RNA". Lineage: Bacteria; Pseudomonadati; Spirochaetota; Spirochaetia; Spirochaetales; Borreliaceae. The record is from RNAcentral.